This 98-nucleotide signal recognition particle RNA is filed under the name Acidobacteriota bacterium. RNAcentral's name for it is "signal recognition particle sRNA small type". It matches the Rfam family "Bacterial small signal recognition particle RNA". Rfam says of the family: The signal recognition particle (SRP) is a universally conserved ribonucleoprotein involved in the co-translational targeting of proteins to membranes. Archaeal SRP consists of a 7S RNA and homologues of the eukaryotic SRP19 and SRP54 proteins. Lineage: Bacteria; Pseudomonadati; Acidobacteriota. The record is from RNAcentral.
GCGCUGGUCCCGCGCAACGCAAUCUUGUGAAACCCGCCAGAUCCGGAAGGAAGCAACGGUAACAGGCUCCUGCGUGUGCAGCGGUCAACUGGCGCCCG